AUUGAACGCUGGCGGCAGGCCUAACACAUGCAAGUCGAACGAUUGGCGGACGGGUGAGUAAUGUCUGGGAACCUGCCCGAUGGAGGGGGAUACCUACUGGAAACGGUAGCUAAUACCGCAUACCAUCGCAUUUGCCCAGAUGUGAUUAGCUUGUAGGUGGGGUAACGGCGAACCUAGGCGACGACCCCUAGCUGGUCUGGGAGGAUGACCAGCAACACUGGAACUGAGACACGGUCAAGACUCCUACGGGAGGCAGCAGUGGGGAAUAUUGCACAAUGGGCGCAAGCCUGAUGCAGCCAUGCCGAGUGGAUGAAGAAGGCCUUGGGGUGGUAAAGUACGUUCAGCGAGGAGGCGUUAAUCGCAGAAGAAGCAACGGCUAACUCCGUGCCAGCAGCCGCGGUAAUUC
Molecule: ribosomal RNA, 406 nt
Filed under: uncultured bacterium
Lineage: Bacteria
Description: partial 16S ribosomal RNA
Rfam family: Bacterial small subunit ribosomal RNA
Source: RNAcentral